UACGUAGGUGGCAAGCGUUGUCCGGAAUUACUGGGUGUAAAGGGAGCGUAGGCGGGCUCGCAAGUUGAAUGUUAAAUCUACCGGCUCAACCGGUAACCGCGUUCAAAACUGCGAGUCUUGAGUGAAGUAGAGGCAGGCGGAAUUCCUAGUGUAGCGGUGAAAUGCGUAGAUAUUAGGAGGAACACCAGUGGCGAAGGCGGCCUGCUGGGCUUUUACUGACGCUGAUGCUCGAAAGCAUGGGGAGCAAACAGGAUUAGAUACCCUGGUAGUCCAUGCCGUAAACGAUGAUUACUAGGUGUGGGGGGACUGACCCCUUCCGUGCCGCAGUUAACACAAUAAGUAAUCCACCUGGGGAGUACGGCCGCAAGGUUGAAACUCAAAGGAAUUGACGGGGGCCCGCACAAGCAGUGGAGUAUGUGGUUUAAUUCGAAGCAACGCGAAGAACCUUACCAGGUCUUGACAUCGCACGCAUUACCUAGAGAUAGGGAAGCCCUUCGGGGCGUGUAGACAGGUGGUGCAUGGUUGUCGUCAGCUCGUGUCGUGAGAUGUUGGGUUAAGUCCCGCAACGAGCGCAACCCUUACAGUUAGUUGCUACGCAAGAGCACUCUAACAGGACUGCCGUUGACAAAACGGAGGAAGGUGGGGAUGACGUCAAAUCAUCAUGCCCCUUAUGACCUGGGCCACACACGUACUACAAUGGCCAUCAACAGAGGGGUGCAAAGCCGCGAGGCAGAGCAAAUCUCAAAAAAUGGUCUCAGUUCGGAUUGCAGGCUGCAACUCGCCUGCAUGAAGCCGGAAUUGCUAGUAAUCGCGAAUCAGCAUGUCGCGGUGAAUACGUUCCCGGGCCUUGUACACACCGCCCGUCACACCAUGAGAGUCGGUAACACCCGAAGCUUGUAGUCUAACCGCAAGGAGGACGCAAUCGAAGGUGGGGUCGAUAAUUGGGGUG
This 949-nucleotide ribosomal RNA is filed under the name uncultured Clostridium sp. RNAcentral's name for it is "bacterial SSU rRNA". It matches the Rfam family "Bacterial small subunit ribosomal RNA", at positions 524 to 1482 of the family's 1533-position model. The record is from RNAcentral. Lineage: Bacteria; Bacillati; Bacillota; Clostridia; Eubacteriales; Clostridiaceae.